This 253-nucleotide ribosomal RNA is filed under the name uncultured bacterium. RNAcentral's name for it is "partial 16S ribosomal RNA". It matches the Rfam family "Bacterial small subunit ribosomal RNA", at positions 524 to 776 of the family's 1533-position model. The record is from RNAcentral.
UACGUAGGGGGCUAGCGUUGUCCGGAAUCAUUGGGCGUAAAGAGCUCGUAGGCGGUUUGUCGCGUCUGCUGUGAAAACCCGAGGCUCAACCUCGGGCCUGCAGUGGGUACGGGCAGACUAGAGUGCGGUAGGGGAGAUUGGAAUUCCUGGUGUAGCGGUGGAAUGCGCAGAUAUCAGGAGGAACACCAAUGGCGAAGGCAGAUCUCUGGGCCGUAACUGACGCUGAGGAGCGAAAGCAUGGGGAGCGAACAGG